AUUGAACGCUGGCGGCAGGCCUAACACAUGCAAGUCGAACGAGUGGCGGACGGGUGAGUAAUGUCUGGGAAACUGCCUGAUGGAGGGGGAUAACUACUGGAAACGGUAGCUAAUACCGCAUACCAUCGGAUGUGCCCAGAUGGGAUUAGCUUGUGGGUGGGGUAACGGCUCACCAAGGCGACGAUCCCUAGCUGGUCUGAGAGGAUGACCGGCAACACGGGACUGGAGAAAGGUCCAAGAUUCCUACGGGAGGCAGCAGGGGGGAAUAUUGCAAAAUGGGGGAAAGCCUGAUGAAGCAAGGCCGGGGGUAUGAAGAGGGCUUUCGGGUUUAAAAGUCUUUUCAGCGGGGAGGCGUUACCCGAAGAAGAAGAACCGGCUAACUCCGUGCCAGCAGCCGCGGUAAAC
This 405-nucleotide ribosomal RNA is filed under the name uncultured bacterium. RNAcentral describes it as "partial 16S ribosomal RNA". It matches the Rfam family "Bacterial small subunit ribosomal RNA", at positions 29 to 525 of the family's 1533-position model. The record is from RNAcentral.